RNAcentral lists this ribosomal RNA (271 nucleotides) under uncultured anaerobic ammonium-oxidizing bacterium. RNAcentral describes it as "partial 16S ribosomal RNA". It matches the Rfam family "Bacterial small subunit ribosomal RNA", at positions 565 to 834 of the family's 1533-position model. The record is from RNAcentral.
GAGCACGUAGGUGGGUUUGUAAGUCAGAUGUGAAAGCCUUCUGUUCAACGGAAGAAUUGCAUCUGAAACUGCGAGUCUUGAGUGUAGGAGGGGAGAAUGGAACUUCUGGUGGAGCGGUGAAAUGCGUAGAUAUCAGAAGGAACGCCGGCGGCGAAAGCGAUUCUCUGGCCUAUUACUGACACUCAGUGUGCGAAAGCUAGGGGAGCAAACGGGAUUAGAUACCCCGGUAGUCCUAGCCGUAAACGAUGGGCACUAAGUAGAGGGGUUUUAA